UCCCCUAGUAACGGCGAGUGAAGCGGGAACAGCUCAAAUUUGAAAUCUGGCCCUUGGGUCCGAGUUGUAAUUUGCAGAGGAUGCUUUUGGUGCGGUGCCUUCCGAGUUCCCUGGAACGGGACGCCUUAGAGGGUGAGAGCCCCGUACGGUUGGACACCAAGCCUAUGUAAAGCUCCUUCGACGAGUCGAGUAGUUUGGGAAUGCUGCUCAAAAUGGGAGGUAUAUUUCUUCUAAAGCUAAAUAUUGGCCAGAGACCGAUAGCGCACAAGUAGAGUGAUCGAAAGAUGAAAAGCACUUUGAAAAGAGGGUUAAAUAGCACGUGAAAUUGUUGAAAGGGAAGGAUUUAUGACCAGACUUUUUCUAGGGGGAUCAUCCGGUGUUCUCACCGGUGCACUUCCCCUAGUUGAGGCCAGCAUCGGUUUCUGUCGGGGGAUAAAAGCUUUAGGAAUGUGGCUCCCUCCGGGGAGUGUUAUAGCCUGUUGCAUAAUACCCUGACGGGGACCGAGGUUCGCGCAUUGCAAGGAUGCUGGCGUAAUGGUUAUUAAUCACCCGUCUUGAAACACGGACCAAGGAGUCGAACAUUUGUGCGAGUGUUUGGGUGUUAAACCCUCACGCGUAAUGAAAGUGAACGGAGGUGAGAGCCUUUCGGGGUGCAUCAUCGACCGAUCCUGAUGUCUUCGGAUGGAUUUGAGUAAGAGCAUUAAUGUUCGGACCCGAAAGAUGGUGAACUAUGCGUGGAUAGGGUGAAGCCAGAGGAAACUCUGGUGGAGGCUCGCAGCGGUUCUGACGUGCAAAUCGAUCGUCAAAUCUGCGCA
RNAcentral lists this ribosomal RNA (815 nucleotides) under Apiospora locuta-pollinis. RNAcentral's name for it is "partial large subunit ribosomal RNA". It matches the Rfam family "Eukaryotic large subunit ribosomal RNA", at positions 76 to 917 of the family's 3401-position model. RNAcentral also lists the same sequence under 1 other name. The record is from RNAcentral. Lineage: Eukaryota; Fungi; Ascomycota; Sordariomycetes; Amphisphaeriales; Apiosporaceae.